AGAAGAGUCACUGCUGUUAAGGCCGUCGUCUCUUGGCCGCCGCCUUGGGUUCCAGUACUAACAAAGAAUCCGGCAGGAAUUCCGGCCAGCCUCUGAUCCUCCCAAAGAUCAAUCGUCGAAUCAAAAAACGACUUCAUCUGCGCCGCCAUGGAUCCAUACCUCGUCGGAAAUCCAAACAAGAAUCCGUCCGCCUCCACCAUCUCCUCCACGGAAAUCACCGGCACGCCGUCGUCCUUCGGCGGAACUCUCAUCUGCUCCA
RNAcentral lists this unclassified non-coding RNA (259 nucleotides) under Hevea brasiliensis (rubber tree). Lineage: Eukaryota; Viridiplantae; Streptophyta; Magnoliopsida; Malpighiales; Euphorbiaceae. The record is from RNAcentral.